Molecule: ribosomal RNA, 433 nt
Filed under: uncultured bacterium
Lineage: Bacteria
Description: partial 16S ribosomal RNA
Rfam family: Bacterial small subunit ribosomal RNA
Source: RNAcentral
AACGAACGCUGGCGGCAUGCCUAACACAUGCAAGCCGAACGAGACCUUCGGGUCUAGUGGCGCACGGGUGCGUAACGCGUGGGAACCUGCCCUUCGGCUCGGAAUAACUCCCCGAAAGGGGUGCUAAUACCGGAUAAUGUCUUCGGACCAAAGAUUUAUCGCCUUUGGAUGGGCCCGCGUUGGAUUAGCUAGUUGGUAGGGUAAAAGCCUACCAAGGCGACGAUCCAUAGCUGGUCUGAGAGGAUGAUCAGCCACACUGGGACUGAGACACGGCCCAGACUCCUACGGGAGGCAGCAGUGGGGAAUAUUGGACAAUGGGCGAAAGCCUGAUCCAGCAAUGCCGCGUGAGUGAUGAAGGCCUUAGGGUUGUAAAGCUCUUUUACCCGGGAUGAUAAUGACAGUACCGGGAGAAUAAGCUCCGGCUAACUCCGUG